GAGGUGACAGGGCCGUAUGGUGGAUCUCCUGCCAGUGACAGGCUGUCAUUUGGAGAUGUGUGCCAUGUGGCUGUCUCUCAGCCUGUCUUUGAGCUGAAGGAUGACCCCUGCUCAUUGGGGCUUCACUGGCCAUGCCAUUCCUGUCUCUCAGCUCAAACAUCUGACAGGAGACAUGACAUCAGAGACACAUCGACUCCAUCUUCAGCUCUCGAGAACUUCCUGAGAGCUUUCUGACCUGCUGCAUCACAGUCUGCUGACAGCUGCACAUCCUCAGACGAGAAAGCCCUUCAGCGGGUAGUCAAAACUGCCCAUCGCGUCACUAAACUCGGCUACUGGCCAUCGAAGAUCUGAACAACAGUCGCUGCCUGUAAAGGGCUCUCCAUAUCAUCAUUAUGGAUUCCAUCCACCACAGCUACAGUCUGUUUUCUUCCCUGCCAUCUGGAAGCCACAUAGACACAAACACAGACCACAACAUUUUCAUCCCUUGAGGUUGCUUUCCUGAGUCGCACUCCCCUGCGGAUGGUCUUCAACAUGUCUUCUCCUUCCUGCUCAUGCCCUUGAUCUUGCUGGUGGCCCUGGCUGGCCUGAGAAUCCGUGGGAAAUGGGAACUGGCCGUCACAGA
Long non-coding RNA from Carassius auratus (goldfish), 622 nucleotides. RefSeq lists it as uncharacterized. The record is from RefSeq and is a predicted model, not a curated record. The transcript is spliced from 3 exons. NCBI's taxonomy places the organism in Eukaryota, Metazoa, Chordata, Actinopteri, Cypriniformes, Cyprinidae.